GAGUUUGAUCCUGGCUCAGGAUGAACGCUAGCGGCAGGCUUAACACAUGCAAGUCGAGGGGUAACAGGGAGCUUGCUCCGCUGACGACCGGCGCACGGGUGCGUAACGCGUAUAGAACCUACCUUUUACUGGAGAAUAGCCUUUAGAAAUGAAGAUUAAUGCUCCAUAGUAUUGCGAUUCGGCAUCGGGUUGUAAUUAAAGAUUUAUUGGUAAAAGAUGGCUAUGCGUCCUAUUAGUUAGUUGGUAAGGUAACGGCUUACCAAGACAGCGAUAGGUAGGGGUCCUGAGAGGGAGAUCCCCCACACUGGUACUGAGACACGGACCAGACUCCUACGGGAGGCAGCAGUGAGGAAUAUUGGGCAAUGGAGGCAACUCUGACCCAGCCAUGCCGCGUGCAGGAAGACGGCCCUAUGGGUUGUAAACUGCUUUUAUACAGGAAGAAACACUGGUAUGUAUACCAGCUUGACGGUACUGUAAGAAUAAGGACCGGCUAACUCCGUACCAGCAGCCGCGGUAAUACGGAGGGUCCGAGCGUUAUCCGGAAUCAUUGGGUUUAAAGGGUCCGCAGGCGGUCAAUUAAGUCAGAGGUGAAAUACCAUAGCUCAACUAUGGAACUGCCUUUGAUACUGGUUGACUUGAGUCAUAUGGAAGUAGAUAGAAUGUGUAGUGUAGCGGUGAAAUGCAUAGAUAUUACACAGAAUACCGAUUGCGAAGGCAGUCUACUACGUAUGUACUGACGCUGAGGGACGAAAGCGUGGGGAGCGAACAGGAUUAGAUACCCUGGUAGUCCACGCCGUAAACGAUGGAUACUAGUUGUUGGGCAUUAGCUCAGUGACUAAGCGAAAGUGAUAAGUAUCCCACCUGGGGAGUACGGUCGCAAGACUGAAACUCAAAGGAAUUGACGG
Molecule: ribosomal RNA, 905 nt
Filed under: uncultured bacterium
Lineage: Bacteria
Description: bacterial SSU rRNA
Rfam family: Bacterial small subunit ribosomal RNA
Source: RNAcentral